RNAcentral lists this unclassified non-coding RNA (480 nucleotides) under Hevea brasiliensis (rubber tree). The record is from RNAcentral. Lineage: Eukaryota; Viridiplantae; Streptophyta; Magnoliopsida; Malpighiales; Euphorbiaceae.
GGAAAAUUAUAUAAUUUUUGCAUCAAGCUCUCUAACAGUCGAUUUCGUUUCAAAAAAAAGAAAAAAAAAAGCAAUUCAUUGAGAAAAAAAUCUCAGUGAAGAAAAAAAAUUAUAUUAUUUUUUUUAUAGAAUACGCAAUAAAAAUAUUACGUCGUUAAAGAAAUUCUUUGUAAAAAACUCACCAGAAAAAUUCAGUGAGAAAAAUCUUGAUUAAGGAAUUAUGUGUAUAUUAAAAAGUUGAGGGAAGUGCUUUGGUGAAUAAAUGUGCAAAUGCAAUAUUAUCAAUUGAGCAAAUUUGUUACAAUUCUUUUGAAAAUCAUAAGUGAAAAAUUUUUAGUGAAAUAUACUUCAUCCUGACUCUUUUAAUGUAAUAUUCUUUCAACUGAUGUAUCCAACCAAUAUUAUUUCCAUAUAAUGUUGUUGGAAUUUCUCAGUAGAUAAAUCAUAUUUACACUAUAUAAUUUGUAUGCUAGGAAGCCA